RNAcentral lists this ribosomal RNA (468 nucleotides) under uncultured bacterium. RNAcentral's name for it is "partial 16S ribosomal RNA". It matches the Rfam family "Bacterial small subunit ribosomal RNA", at positions 28 to 507 of the family's 1533-position model. The record is from RNAcentral.
GACGAACGCUGGCGGCGUGCUUAACACAUGCAAGUCGAACGGAAAGGCCCUGCUUUUGUGGGGUGCUCGAGUGGCGAACGGGUGAGUAACACGUGAGUAACCUGCCCUUGACUUUGGGAUAACUUCAGGAAACUGGGGCUAAUACCGGAUCGGAGCUCCCGCUGCAUGGUGGGGGUUGGAAAGUUUCGGCGGGUGGGGAUGGACUCGCGGCUUAUCAGCUUGUUGGUGGGGUAGUGGCUUACCAAGGCUUUGACGGAUAGCCGGCCUGGGAGGGUGACCGGCGACAAUGGGACUGAGGGAGGGACCAGACUCCUACGGGAGGCAGAAGUGGGGAGUAUUGCACAGUGAGCGCAAGCCUGAGGAGACAGCGUCGCGUGCGGGAUGACGGCCUUCGGGUUGUGAACCGCUUUCGCCUGUGACGAAGCGUGAGUGACGGUAAUGGGUGAAGAAGCACCGGCUAACUACGUG